AUACAGGCCAUGCACUGCUAUUGUGGCUGCAGUACAUGAGAAUUUCUCAUCUCAACAAAUAUGCAUAUUCAGUAACACCUGCACGCUAAAGUAAGAUCACAUUACUUAUGAAUUAUAGAAUGCUAUUAGUGGAGUGUGAUCUGCCCGGUGAUCACGGAGAUGGCCUGCCCGGUGGUCAAUUAUUUGCCCAUUGUAAGAUCAUAUUACUUAUGAAUUAUAGAAUGCUCUUAGUGGAGUGUGAUCUGCCCGGUGAUCAUGGAGAUGGCCUGCCUGGUGGUCAAUUAUUUGCCUAUUUUUUCUGCUUUUAUGGAGCAAACCUGCCU
RNAcentral lists this long non-coding RNA (323 nucleotides) under Salvia miltiorrhiza (redroot sage). RNAcentral describes it as "long non-coding RNA (SMIL_LNC003967)". The record is from RNAcentral. Lineage: Eukaryota; Viridiplantae; Streptophyta; Magnoliopsida; Lamiales; Lamiaceae.